Molecule: transfer RNA, 73 nt
Filed under: Ovis aries (sheep)
Lineage: Eukaryota; Metazoa; Chordata; Mammalia; Artiodactyla; Bovidae
Rfam family: tRNA
About the family: Transfer RNA (tRNA) molecules are approximately 80 nucleotides in length.
Source: Rfam by way of RNAcentral
UUCCUGGUGGUCCAGUGGUUAGAACUCCACACUCCCAAUGCAUAGGGCCCAAGUUCAAUUCCUGGUCAGGGAA